RNAcentral lists this ribosomal RNA (500 nucleotides) under uncultured bacterium. Its description in RNAcentral is "partial 16S ribosomal RNA". It matches the Rfam family "Bacterial small subunit ribosomal RNA", at positions 29 to 523 of the family's 1533-position model. The record is from RNAcentral.
AGUGAACGCUGGCGGCAUGCCUUACACAUGCAAGUCGAACGGUAACGGGUCCUUCGGGAUGCCGACGAGUGGCGAACGGGUGAGUAAUAUAUCGGAACGUGCCCAGUAGUGGGGGAUAACUGCUCGAAAGAGCAGCUAAUACCGCAUACGACCUGCGGGUGAAAGGGGGGGAUCGCAAGAACUCUCGCUCUUGGAGCGGCCGAUGUCAGAUUAGCUAGUUGGUGGGGUAAGGGCCUACCAAGGCAACGAUCGGUAGUUGGUCUGAGAGGACGACCAGCCACACUGGGACUGAGACACGGCCCAGACUCCUACGGGAGGCAGCAGUGGGGAAUUUUGGACAAUGGGCGCAAGCCUGAUCCAGCAAUGCCGCGUGCAGGAAGAAGGCCUUCGGGUUGUAAACUGCUUUUGUCAGGGAAGAAAUCUUCUGGGCUAAUACCCCGGGAGGAUGACGGUACCUGAAGAAUAAGCACCGGCUAACUACGUGCCAGCCGCCGCAGUAA